AACAAAGGGCAUCACGUUUCCCCCCCACGGUGACCUCACACGCCCCCUCCCAGAAGUGCCUAGCGCUCCACAAACGAGAGGGAUUCCGUCUGUGGCCUGUCCCGCGCGCUCAGGAUUACCACGCAUCGUUAAUCAAAGGCAACGCUGCAGGACCGAGUAGGGACUCUGCGCUGCAGAGAAAAGUUCGCCCCAGUGGCAGUUUUCGUGAAGAAGUCCAGCCUACAACAGCCUAUGGAUACACUGGAUUUGACGCCCUUGCGUGACAUGUGAGAUGCAUUUCCAGACUUUGCAUCUUAACUGGAACUUCCAGCGAAUCCCCUCAGUGAGAUAACUAUGGCCCCUGUCCCCAAAAUGAGCAUUGUGUGGUUUGGCCCGCCCCUUGGACCUUGUGGCCUCAUCCAUUCAAGUUGGGGGGGGGAUACCCCACAGUGAUG
Molecule: long non-coding RNA, 434 nt
Organism: Oncorhynchus tshawytscha (Chinook salmon)
Lineage: Eukaryota; Metazoa; Chordata; Actinopteri; Salmoniformes; Salmonidae
Source: Ensembl